CAGUAGCCGCGGGAAUACGUAGGUGGCAAGCGUUGUCCGGAAUUAUUGGGCGUAAAGGGCUCGCAGGCGGUUUCUUAAGUCUGGUGUGAAAGCCCCCGGCUCAACCGGGGAGGGUCAUUGGAAACUGGGAAACUUGAGUGCAGAAGAGGAGAGUGGAAUUCCACGUGUAGCGGUGAAAUGCGUAGAGAUGUGGAGGAACACCAGUGGCGAAGGCGACUCUCUGGUCUGUAACUGACGCUGAGGAGCGAAAGCGUGGGGAGCGAACAGGAUUAGAUACCCCCGUAGUCCCUGUCUCUUAUAC
RNAcentral lists this ribosomal RNA (301 nucleotides) under uncultured bacterium. RNAcentral describes it as "partial 16S ribosomal RNA". It matches the Rfam family "Bacterial small subunit ribosomal RNA", at positions 509 to 807 of the family's 1533-position model. The record is from RNAcentral.